AGUCGAGCGGCAGCACGGGAAGCUUGCUUCCUGGUGGCGAGCGGCGGACGGGUGAGUAAUGCAUAGGAAUCUGCCCGAUAGUGGGGGAUAACCUGGGGAAACCCAGGCUAAUACCGCAUACGUCCUACGGGAGAAAGCAGGGGCUCUUCGGACCUUGCGCUAUCGGAUGAGCCUAUGUCGGAUUAGCUGGUUGGUGAGGUAAUGGCUCACCAAGGCGACGAUCCGUAGCUGGUCUGAGAGGAUGAUCAGCCACAUCGGGACUGAGACACGGCCCGAACUCCUACGGGAGGCAGCAGUGGGGAAUAUUGGACAAUGGGCGCAAGCCUGAUCCAGCCAUGCCGCGUGUGUGAAGAAGGCCCUCGGGUUGUAAAGCACUUUCAGUGGGGAAGAAAGCCUUGGGGCUAAUACCCUCGAGGAAGGACAUCACCCACAGAAGAAGCACCGGCUAACUCCGUGCCAGCAGCCGCGGUAAUACGGAGGGUGCGAGCGUUAAUCGGAAUUACUGGGCGUAAAGCGCGCGUAGGUGGCUUGAUAAGCCGGUUGUGAAAGCCCCGGGCUCAACCUGGGAACGGCAUCCGGAACUGUCAGGCUAGAGUGCAGGAGAGGAAGGUAGAAUUCCCGGUGUAGCGGUGAAAUGCGUAGAGAUCGGGAGGAAUACCAGUGGCGAAGGCGGCCUUCUGGACUGACACUGACACUGAGGUGCGAAAGCGUGGGUAGCAAAUAGGAUUAGAUACCCUGGUAGUCCACGCCGUAAACGAUGUCGACUAGCCGUUGGGAGCC
RNAcentral lists this ribosomal RNA (780 nucleotides) under uncultured bacterium. Its description in RNAcentral is "bacterial SSU rRNA". It matches the Rfam family "Bacterial small subunit ribosomal RNA", at positions 60 to 831 of the family's 1533-position model. The record is from RNAcentral.